Molecule: long non-coding RNA, 1406 nt
Filed under: Anser cygnoides (Swan goose)
Lineage: Eukaryota; Metazoa; Chordata; Aves; Anseriformes; Anatidae
Description: lncRNA (ENSACDG00005003889.1)
Source: RNAcentral
AAAUUCAGUCUGUGUGUCACCGUAAAAUACAUUGCCCGUAGAUGAGUGGAACUUUACAAAACAAGGCGUGUGUUCAGCUCUUCGUCCUCAUCCCACACGCUGCGAGAGCAAGUGGAGGGCAGGGAAGGGAGAGGGAGGUCAGAGCUGAGACAGGACGAGGCAAGGCGAAGCUCUCCAGGUUAUUAUUGUUCCAGUAAUUAGAGCUAUAGUAAUUCCCAUUAUUCCCAGGAUGCUUACACAGAAGCUGUUUGUAUUCCACAAACCUCCCCAGCUACUCAGAACGGAUUUACCUAGUGCAAGGAAACAACUUGUCUGUAGCCUGCCAAGGACACCAGACUCUUUAUGCAACCAAGGAGAUGGUAGUCACCACCAAGACAAUUGCUAUGAAACAGGCAACCAACAAUAAGGGACCAGCUAUAUGAAGAGCACCUACCUCUGGUGUAUGGACACCAGCAACUUGAGAUCAUAUACAUUCUCCCACCCGCGUUAGUGGUGCCCCUCUCAUUAGGUUGGACUUCCUGUGCAGAAACAGGUCCAUGUGCUCAUCAAGCAAGAUAUAAAGUGUCUAGUGCUUGUCUGGUUCUUACUAAAACAUCAUAUGAAUUAUAAACAUCACCUUUGUUUCUUGACCUGUUGUAUCUCCUGCAAUCUUACAUGACACUGCUAAUAGGAAUCUUUAUUUAUAUCCUAACAAGAUGCUUAUAUGUUAUGUUCUUUUCCUCUCCAACACAUCUAUUUCAGAAUAAGGCUUUUCAUGCAAACCCUUUGUUUCCAGAAAGCAUCACAAACUUCUUGAGCAUCGUUGUAAUUUAAAUGAUUAACUAAAAUAUCAGUAAAUAGUAACAUACAAGAAAACGCAUCUCAAAAGAUAUGGAGCUGACUUGAUGAGACCACAAAAUAUUGUCACCUUAUAAUUAAUUUACUCAGCUAAAAUCUCUCCUCUCUGAAACUAAGAGGCACUUGAUUUAAAUUACCAAUGGGGAAAGGUCCCUAGCACACGCUGGGGAAGAAGGCUUGGGACCAUGCUUUGUCAUCAUUCAGUUUGAAGUAUGGAGAAAAAAAAGACAAGCCAUGGACACCAGUGCAAAUGUUUCUGCAAAAAUCAUAAACUGUCUGAGAACCAUCUGAGUCACUAAGUCCCCCUUCCUUGGUUUUGCAGGUGAACUUGCAAUAUGCAGUAGGUCCAGAAGGUCCAUAACAACAUAUACCAAAUGAUGCCAGAGCUUCAGCGUUGGUGAUUCUGGAGCAAUGACAUGAUGCAGGACCACAAGAAGAAAGGUGUCCUGAGCCCUGGCAGUAUCAGAGAAUUCCCUAAAUGAAAACACAUGGAUGCAGCUAGGAAAGCCUCAAUCCUCUACCCUGCAAAGAAAGUCAAGAAAUUCCUCUUGGACCCAACACCUGGCAGU